GACGUAGGGCGCGAGCGUUGUCCGGAUUUAUUGGGCGUAAAGAGCUCGUAGGCGGCUUGUCGCGUCGACUGUGAAAACCCGUGGCUCAACCAUGUGGUCUGCAGUCGAUACGGGCAGGCUAGAAUUCGGUAGGGGAGACUGGAAUUCCUGGUGUAGCGGUGAAAUGCGCAGAUAUCAGGAAGAACACCCGUGGCGAAGGCGGUUCUCUGGGACGGUACUGACGCUGAGACGCGAAAGCGUGGGGAGCGAACAGG
RNAcentral lists this ribosomal RNA (254 nucleotides) under uncultured bacterium. RNAcentral's name for it is "partial 16S ribosomal RNA". It matches the Rfam family "Bacterial small subunit ribosomal RNA", at positions 524 to 776 of the family's 1533-position model. The record is from RNAcentral.